CCUACGGGGGGCAGCAGUGAGGAAUAUUGGUCAAUGGGCGGGAGCCUGAACCGGCCAAGCCGCGUGAGGGAAGAAGGUACAGCGUAUCGUAAACCUCUUUUGUCAGGGAACAAAGGCGGGGACUAGUCCCCGGAUGAGGGUACCUGAAGAAAAAGCAUCGGCUAACUCCGUGCCAGCAGCCGCGGUAAUACGGAGGAUGCGAGCGUUAUCCGGAUUUAUUGGGUUUAAAGGGUGCGCAGGCGGCCUGUUAAGUCAGCGGGAAAAGCCCGGGGCUCAACCGCGGCGAGCCGUUGAAACUGGCGGGCUGGAGUUGGAGAGAGGUACGCGGAAUGCGAGGUGUAGCGGUGAAAUGCUUAGAUAUCGCGCAGAACCCCGAUUGCGAAGGCAGCGUACCGGCUCCACACUGACGCUGAGGCACGAAAGCGUGGGUAUCGAACAGGAUUAGAUACCCGAGUAGUC
This 459-nucleotide ribosomal RNA is filed under the name uncultured bacterium. RNAcentral describes it as "partial 16S ribosomal RNA". It matches the Rfam family "Bacterial small subunit ribosomal RNA", at positions 338 to 795 of the family's 1533-position model. The record is from RNAcentral.